Molecule: ribosomal RNA, 465 nt
Filed under: uncultured bacterium
Lineage: Bacteria
Description: partial 16S ribosomal RNA
Rfam family: Bacterial small subunit ribosomal RNA
Source: RNAcentral
CCUACGGGUGGCAGCAGUGGGGAAUAUUGCGCAAUGGGCGAAAGCCUGACGCAGCGACGCCGCGUGAGGGAUGAAGGUCUUCGGAUCGUAAACCUCUGUCAGCAGGGAAGAACGGUCACUGUGCUAAUCAGCAGUGAAUUGACGGUACCUUCAAAGGAAGCACCGGCUAACUCCGUGCCAGCAGCCGCGGUAAUACGGAGGGUGCGAGCGUUAAUCGGAAUUACUGGGCGUAAAGCGCUCGUAGGCGGUAUGUCAAGUCAAGGGGGAAAUCCCCGCGCUUAACGUGGGAACUGCCUUUGAAACUGGCAAACUGGAGUGUGUGAGAGGAUAGUGGAAUUCCAGGUGUAGGAGUGAAAUCCGUAGAUAUCUGGAGGAACAUCAGUGGCGAAGGCGACUAUCUGGCACAUAACUGACGCUGAGGAGCGAAAGCGUGGGUAGCAAACAGGAUUAGAUACCCCAGUAGUC